RNAcentral lists this transfer RNA (65 nucleotides) under Myotis daubentonii (Daubenton's bat). RNAcentral describes it as "tRNA-Pro". The record is from RNAcentral. Lineage: Eukaryota; Metazoa; Chordata; Mammalia; Chiroptera; Vespertilionidae.
AGGAGGUAGUUUAAUUAGAAUAUCAGCUUUGGGUGUUGAUGGUGGAGUUUGAGCUCUCCUCUUGA